This is an unclassified non-coding RNA of Macaca fascicularis (crab-eating macaque), 300 nucleotides long. It matches the Rfam family "Metazoan signal recognition particle RNA". From Rfam's summary of the family: The signal recognition particle (SRP) is a universally conserved ribonucleoprotein. It is involved in the co-translational targeting of proteins to membranes. Lineage: Eukaryota; Metazoa; Chordata; Mammalia; Primates; Cercopithecidae. The record is from Ensembl.
GCUGGGCACAGUGGCACGUGUUUGUAGUCCCAGCUACUCGAGAGGCUGAGGUGGGAGCAUCCGUUGAGCUCACGAGUUCUGGGUUGUAGUCCACUAUGGCAAUUGGGUGUCUGCACUCAGUUCAACAUCAGUUCGACUACCUCCUUGGAGUGGGGGACCACCAGGUUGCUUAAGGAGGGGUGAACUGCCCCAGGUCAGAAAGGGAAUAGGGCAAAACUCCCAUGCUGGGCAGUAGUGGUUUCCAGCCUGUGAAUAGCCACUGCACUCCAGUCUGGGCAACAUGGGGAGAACCUAUCUCUU